CACUUGAGCUGGGAGUCAGGCUGCUCAGCUCCGCCGGUGUGUCGGCAAGAACUGAGUGGGGGGGGGGGACCUUGACUCCCAGCCCCACAGAGCUCAGGCGGCUCCUGCUGCUGGGGGGAGCGCCUGGGGGUGCUGGGAUCACCCGCUGAGGACCAGGCACAGAGGCCGUUAGUCUCAGCAGAAAGGGGGACACGAACAGCAAGUUCAGGGGUCAGGCUGCAGGUCUGAGGCCGGGGCCGUGUGCCCCGGGGAGGAGACCAGCCCCGAGCCCAGACCCCUCUCUUCCGAGACAGGGAGGCUCUCUCUACGCGGGAGCACUUGCCGAGGCCCCAGGACGGUGUCCCGAGGCGGUCCUCCCCGUGGCUAAGCUGCUCUGAGCGAGCUCCUUCCUUUCGACCCAGGGAUCUCCAACUGAGAAAUGCCCCCGGAGCUUGGCACUGUGCCUUGGCCCGGGCACAGGGCAGCCUCCGCUUGCUGGACGGGUGACUGGAAACGUCUGUCGCCGCGGCACAGGGCCUGGCUUAUUCACUGGCGGUAGCAAAACCACGAACAGCUUCUGGAAGAUCGACCCACAUUCCACAAAACCUGUGUUCUGGGGAGUUCACCUGGAGCCCCUCGGUCUGGAGACCGCUGACCUCGGUUCACAUGGGUCACUUAUUACCUGGCCUCGGGGUCUUCGAACCAUCUCCCCUGAGCAUCUGCUCUCUCCUUCACAAAGUGGGAGGGUAGCGUCCGCCGCACAGAUUGUUUGAAACAGACAACAUGACGGCUCAUGGCUCAUGGCUCUGUCUCGGGUAAGUUACUCCAGCCCGUGGGUCCACGGCCACAGAGGUCCCGCGUGGCUGCUCCUGAGGGAACCUCUUCUGACCCGGCCUCACUGCUCGAGAGGCUCGCUGAAUGCGGAGCGAGCUCCAGGCCGGCCCCGGGGUGCCCUUUGGCUUCCGUCACACACCCGCCUAGAUGCUGCUCCGGGGGAAGGCCGGGCCCUGCAGCGGGGCCACAGGCUUCAGGGGCCCCUGCAACUCCCAUACCCCGUCCUGCGUGUCCCCCUGGUGGAGCUUCCGUGAUGCCCCCGGGGCCGGCGGGGCUGUGCUUGCUGGACUCCCUUGAACCCUGGACUUUCCUUGGCAGUGGCGCGGGCCGCCUGGGGCAGUCACUGUCUCUUCCCAGCCAGGCUGUCUCCUCGAUGGACUUGUCCUCACUGCUCUGGGGGAAACCGGGUGGCCGACGGCUGGUCCUGACACCGGCCAGGGAUGACAGAGUCACUGAGUGCGACGAAACGGGAGGCCUGGCUUGGAACUGCCCCUUCCCGUGUGGGCACACGUGGCUCCCCACGGCCCCCGUGCAGGAGCCCUGCUGUGUCCCCGUUGCUCUGUGCGUGUUCGAGCUGGGCGGGCAGGCGGGCUUCUAACACAGGUCUCAUGGCACACAGCCAUGCGGCUGCAGGACACAGAGGAUGCAGGGAGACGGCGGGGCCCCCGGGCUCUGCCAUCGGGCAUCAGAGGGUCAGUGCUCGCCCGUGGCAUCUGCACGCCAGACACGUGACGUGCCUUGUCCACUGGACUGUGGCCAGAGUGGGCCACUUCUGGGGGAGCCUCAGGGUCACCGGGGAGCUGUGCUCACCCCUCCCCUCAGCUGGGGUGACCGUGGAGGCCAGUGUCAGGACGAAUCUGCAUCAGCCCGGCUCUCCAGCGAUCCCCACGCCCCCCGCACAGCUCGUCGAACACGAACAAGAAACACGCUCGCUGUGUUAAUGCUGGUCCUGGUUGUCGCUGCUGCUUAAUCUAGCCUAUCCUGACAAACGCAUGGCGGGGGACCACCCCCUAAGUCCCGCUGAGGGGUGACGGCCACCUGCGCUGUAGCCACAGGGAGAGAGGACACCGGCGAGUGGGCCUGAGAGAUUUGGGGGCUGGUGUGGCCGCCAGUGACUAGAGAGGCACGCUGGGGUCAAGACGUUUCCAAAGCCCGCCGAAACAGAAGUAGGAGUCACCACCCCAUCCCAGUGUCCAGGGCCAGGGCCUGGUGUCGGCUAGCUCUGAACCCGCCAAGGGCCCCCGGGACCCGUGCCACAGCUCCGCCGAGCAGGAGUCCAGGCACAGAUGGACGGGAAAGCUGGGGUCAGAAGGGCCUCCCUUUGGGACGAGCCCCACCGUGUGGGGCAAGGGGUCUGCAGCCUGCAGAACAGGAUGCGGGGGAGGCUCUGUUACAUUCUCACAGACGUGCCAGCUGAGGCUUGGGGAGCCUGACAACCUUCCCCACCUAAGAAGGGCCGGGGUCCAAAGCCUGUCCACGUGGCCAGAAACCCUUGCUGCUAGAGGUGGGCAACUCACCCCUCGGCGAGUGGGCUUCGCAUUGGAAGGGCUGUGAGCUCCUCCGUGGGAGGGGGUGGGCAGUGGAGGUGUCCAAGGGCACGACAGGUGCCCUCACGGAGGUCGCUGGGCGCAGGCAGCAGUCCAGCCCCCUUGGGUGCAGACGUCACCAGUGCUCCUGCACACACGCGGGGGGCUGAGUCCCGUUCCUGGCCACGUGCACACAGGCGCUCGCCCCUGGAUGUUGGGGAAACCGGACUGUACAGAUACAGUAUGCUAAAAUACAGAAGCCUGUAUUUUAGGUCUUCCCUUUAUGCUCAUGGGAUCGGACUUGCCAGGCUCCGACCCAAGCAGAAACCAGAGCUCCUUCACACAAGUCGCUGGAGCGGUAGUGACAGACUUUGAGGUGCUGUGAUGCUCUGUUUUCUUGGCGGGGGACGGCACACGCAAACUGCCCAGCGGUCGGUGGAGGACGGCUCAGGUUCUGCAGUCACCUGCCCGCCGGUCCCCACACGCUCCGGAGCUUCGAGCAAGUUACCUGACAGUGCUGAGCCUCAGUGUUGCGGUCUCGAAAAUGGCCACAGGACCUAGCAGAGCCCGGGUCCCCAGAGCCCGAUGUUCACCGCACAGAAAAAGGCAGUGAGAUCUCAGCGUGGCCUCGCGCCUGCGCGGUCCGGAGCCGCCUUCCCAGCACCAGCCGAGCAGACCGGCGGUGACCUGGUAUUUCCUUGUCCCAAUUAAGAUGCAGAGCGGGUCGGAAACGGGAAGAAGAAGUCAGUCCAACCUCCUCAUCUUGCCGUUGGGAAGUGCCACGCUCAGAGUCCCCCAGGAGGGUCAUGGCCAGCCAGAGGCAGAAUUCAGG
This is a long non-coding RNA of Mustela lutreola (European mink), 3171 nucleotides long. RefSeq lists it as uncharacterized. The record is from RefSeq and is a predicted model, not a curated record. The transcript is spliced from 5 exons. NCBI's taxonomy places the organism in Eukaryota, Metazoa, Chordata, Mammalia, Carnivora, Mustelidae.